UACGUAGGGUGCGAGCGUUGAUCGGAAUUACUGGGCGUAAAGCGUGCGCAGGCGGUUCGUUAAGUUCGUCGUGAAAGCCCCGGGCUCAACCUGGGAAUGGCGAUGGAAACUGGCGGGCUGGAGUGUGGCAGAGGGGGGUGGAAUUCCGCGUGUAGCAGUGAAAUGCGUAGAGAUGCGGAGGAACACCGAUGGCGAAGGCAGCCCCCUGGGCCAACACUGACGCUCAGGCACGAAAGCGUGGGGAGCGAACAGG
This 253-nucleotide ribosomal RNA is filed under the name uncultured bacterium. RNAcentral's name for it is "partial 16S ribosomal RNA". It matches the Rfam family "Bacterial small subunit ribosomal RNA", at positions 524 to 776 of the family's 1533-position model. The record is from RNAcentral.